CACUUGUAGUCCUGGAGCUCCUGCAGAGCUUUUAUUCUGGCAUUUGGAAAGUGUAAUUUUAGUAGAUUUCCAUGUGUGAACGUUGGAGACGUACAGUAGUUUGUGGGUAGAUUAGUGCAUUUCCCAGUACAUUGAUCUAAUUCUCUGUUAUUGUGUGUGUGUGUCAGGGUCAGCUGCUGCCUGCAUCACUGCUUCAUGAAUCUCCAGGUUUCUGCAGUAAUUCAUCACCUGGCCAAUCAUCCCAGCACUUACAGGGUUGCUGGUUCAAGUCCCGCUGGUGGCUCCUAACUCGUCCUUUGAUCGACGGGCGUCCCACCCAGAGGGGUUUACACCACCGUACGCCCUUUGACCCUUUACAGGAUAAACAGACCCCUAUACAAAUGGAAGCGAUCGCCGUGAUCACCCAGCCAAUAGGCUUCUACUUCCUGUUUUUGAGACUGUCAAUCAAAGUGAAUGCAGAACUGUGCUUGAAAACAAGGCCGUGCGUCACAACAGCAAACAGGUAAAUAUAAUUAUUGUUCUUACCUGACCCAUAGACAUAUAUCAAUGUGACCUGAUGCGACCUUGUUAUGUUCCACGAUGCGCAUGCUGAAAAGUAGAGGCGUGGCUUCUGGUAGAUUGUCAGAGGUAGGAGGAGGAAGUGAGGCUGUUUAGGGCGGGACAUCGAGACUUUUUUCAGAAACUCCAGAAAUCAGCUUUAAUCAAUACAUAAUUAAUAACCUCACCAACCUUCCUCCAUUAAUAAACAGAUUUUUACUAUUUUCA
RNAcentral lists this long non-coding RNA (765 nucleotides) under Gouania willdenowi (blunt-snouted clingfish). RNAcentral describes it as "lncRNA (ENSGWIG00000020883.1)". Lineage: Eukaryota; Metazoa; Chordata; Actinopteri; Blenniiformes; Gobiesocidae. The record is from RNAcentral.